GAAUUCGCCCUUAGAGUUUGCUUCUGGCUCAGGACGAACGCUGGCGGCGUGCCUAACACAUGCAAGUCGAGCGGAGACAUUGGAGAGCUUGCUCUUAGAUGUUUUAGCGGCGGACGGGUGAGUAACGCGUGAGCAAUCUGUCCUGUACAGGGGGAUAACAACUGGAAACAGUUGCUAAUACCGCAUGAGACCACAAGGCCGCAUGGUCAAGGGGUCAAAGGAGAAAUCCGGUAUAGGGUGAGCUCGCGUCUGAUUAGAUAGUUGGUGAGGUAACGGCCCACCAAGUCAACGAUCAGUAGCCGACCUGAGAGGGUGAUCGGCCACAUUGGAACUGAGACACGGUCCAAACUCCUACGGGAGGCAGCAGUGGGGAAUAUUGGGCAAUGGGCGAAAGCCUGACCCAGCAACGCCGCGUGAGGGAAGAAGGUUUUCGGAUUGUAAACCUCUGUCCUUGGUGACGAAGGAAGUGACGGUAGCCAAGGAGGAAGCCCCGGCUAACUACGUGCCAGCAGCCGCGGUAAUACGUAGGGGGCAAGCGUUGUCCGGAAUGAUUGGGCGUAAAGGGCGCGUAGGCGGCCGUUUAAGUCUGGAGUGAAAGUCCUUCUUUCAAGGAGGGAAUUGCUUUGGAUACUGGACGGCUUGAGUGCAGGAGAGGUAAGUGGAAUUCCCAGUGUAGCGGUGAAAUGCGUAGAGAUUGGGAGGAACACCAGUGGCGAAGGCGACUUACUGGACUGUAACUGACGCUGAGGCGCGAAAGUGUGGGGAGCAAACAGGAUUAGAUACCCUGGUAGUCCACACUGUAAACGAUGAAUGCAAGGUGUAGGAGGUAUCGGCCCCUUUUGUGCGCCAGUUAGCGCAUUAAGUAUUCCACCUGGGGAGUACGCCCGCAAGGUUGAAACUCAAAGGAAUUGACGGGGGCCCGCACAAGCAGUGGAUUAUGUGGUUUAAUUCGACGCAACGCGAAGAACCUUACCAGGACUUGACAUCCAACUAACGAAGUAGAGAUACAUUAGGUGCCCUUCGGGGAAAGUUGAGACAGGUGGUGCAUGGUUGUCGUCAGCUCGUGUCGUGAGAUGUUGGGUUAAGUCCCGCAACGAGCGCAACCCUUGCCUUUAGUUGCCAUCAUUAAGUUGGGCACUCUAAAGGGACUGCCUGUGACAAGCAGGAGGAAGGUGGGGAUGACGUCAAGUCCUCAUGGCCCUUACGGGCCGGGCUACACACGUACUACAAUGGCGAACACAGAGGGAAGCUUACCUGAGAGGGUUGGCGGAUCCUAUAAAAGUCGUCUCAGUUCGGAUUGCACUCUGCAACUCGAGUGCAUGAAGUUGGAAUCGCUAGUAAUCGCGGAUCAGCAGGUCGCGGUGAAUACGAUCCCGGGCCUUGUACACACCGCCCGUCA
RNAcentral lists this ribosomal RNA (1399 nucleotides) under uncultured bacterium. Its description in RNAcentral is "bacterial SSU rRNA". It matches the Rfam family "Bacterial small subunit ribosomal RNA". The record is from RNAcentral.